UAAAAUGGUUGCUGAAAUGUGAGGGGUGUACUCACUUUUGUGAAAUACUGUAUAUGACAUAAUUAAUAUAUAUAUUAUAUAUAAGUAAUAUAUAAAUAACAUAAUUAGUAUAUAUAUUAAUUAUGUUAUUUAUUAAUUUAUAAUUAAUAUAAAAUAAAUAAUAAAGUAACUACUAGAGACUGUGCCAUAAAUAUAAACAAUUCUAUAGUGAAUGAAUUAAUGUCUUACUGUGAGUAAUAGCCUCUGGAUAUAAUAUAUAACAUAAUAAGUUUUGAAAUCACUUCAGUAGUCAACAAAACAAAACAAAAAAUCUGGUAUUCCUUGUAUUUAAUUUUGUAAUCUGGUAAUCUUUUAAUGUCAAUUUUUACUCCCAGAAUGCAGUGGGGAUGUCCGAGUGCAGGAUCAUCCAAGAAGAAAUUAGACAUUGUGUUUUCCACAGCUUCAUCUUUAACGUUCAUUUCCACCGGCCUGUGUCUUGUACCGCCCUGCCUUCCUGCUCAGGUCAGGAAAAAUUCAGAGUCUCUUCGAGGCAUCAGGCUGUAAUUAACCAUUCCCUUCACUGCCGCUGUUCUCUGAGCUAGACGGGCCUGGAGGUCUGCCACGGUACCCACCGCUCUGUUUCAAGCAAAUAUCUCCAGCUUUGUUCACAUGACGAUGAGCCGCUCUGGAGAAAAUGGGCAGCAGAAGGUGUCACCUUCAUCGGACCUGACACACAUGCUACUCAAACCGUGGGAGACAAGAUCAGGGGCAAAUUAAUCGCCAAGAUGCCAAGGUCAGUGUCGUGCCCCCAUGCGCGUGGGCUGGUCAAGCAACAAAGCCAAUGAUUUCCACAUAAGAGCAGUGGGGAGACAGAGUAUGGAGAGGAGGAUCGGGUAGACGGCCCCUCCAGAGCCCGCUGAAGUGAAGCCAUAGUUGGGUGUGUUGGCUGGUCUCGCCCGGCCGCCCCACAGCAGUGAAACACUCAGGAUGGUCCUGAUGAUACUCGUUUGACAGUGGCUGACAUGAGCAGAGGCCUGUAAGGCUAGUGGCGAGACAGAAAAGCCACCUGGGAGGCCCAUUCCUACGGAUACAGCUGCUGUUUUCCGGCUCUGUAGUGCUGUGUUUGCACGUUUACAAAUUAGCACUUCUCACGGGCCUGGGACCUGCUUUACGGAGCCGAGUUUUCUGAGCAGCCUGAAAGUGUGAAAGAGUUCCAGAGGGCAGAGCAUUUGGAGAAGUCUAGAUAAUGAGAUUCUUUUGUUAAUGCCAUUGAACUCGAUUCAAUUACUGAAAAGGGCCCAUGUUUGUGAUAUAGUGUGCACAGUAUACAUGUGUUUCUAUAUGCAGUUGACUUUGUAAGCCCUCAAGGAACAAACUUUUAGCACUUUCAAACAUUCAAUGUUUAUCGUCAAGCACAAAUGGAGAACCAAGUAUAUUUGUCUUUUUUCUGUUUCUGUUUUUUCUUUAGCCAAGUGAGCUGUUUUGGGGCUGAUCUUGUGUGUGCUUGUGUGAUGUAUAGAUUAAUUAAAUAAGCAUAUUGAUUCCUGUUCUGGCAACACAGAGUGUGGGGUUUUAAUUAGCCCACGCUUGAGUGUGUUAAAAUUCCUGUCUUAUCUGUGUGGAACCAAGUGGAACUGAAUGCAAGAGGGCUGCUCAUCAACUCAGAAUCUCCAAUAACCUUUUUUUUUGUUUUUUGUCUGACCUAAAACCCAAACUUUAAUGUAUGCAAGUAGUAUAUGCAACACUUCCAUUGCUAAUACUCAUUUUAAACACACAAUUUGUGCCUACUGCCACCCAUAUUAUAGAAAAAAAGGAAGCGAAAAAUAGGUGAUGUAAAAAAAAUGUUUUUGUGGCAAUGAAAUAACUAUAAUUUUUAAGGACACAUCAGUGAGAUUGCACUUUUUUGACAAUACAUACAUACAUACAUACAUACAUAUACAUAUAUAAUGGAAUACAAAUAUACAAUAUACAAUACAUAUAUAUAUAUAUAUAUAUAUACAUUCAAGGUCCAGAAAGUAGUAAAAACAUUGUUAAAACAGUCAACGUGACUACAGUUAAAGGAUUAGUUAACCUUAAAGGAUUAGUUCACUUUAAAAUGAAAAUUACCCCAAACUUUACUCACUCUCAAACCAUCCUCGGUGUAUAUGACUUUCUUCUUUCUGAUGAACACAAUUGGAGUUAUAUUUCGAAUCAGUGGUUCGGAGAGCGUUUUAAACUGCAAAAGUCACAACCCCCAGUGGUGAACCAUUGAAAUUUCGAAACAUUUAUGACUUAAUGAAGCCUUGUUUACUGAAAUCAUGUGACUGUGGCAGUUUGAUACACACUCCGUUUGUUUGUUUUUUUGGCACACAAAAAGUAUUAUUGUCGAUUCAUAACAUUAAGGUUGAACCACUGUAGUCACAUAAACUGUUUUAAAUAUGUCUUUAGUGGAUUUCUGGGCAUCUGAAAAUGUUAAUUAUAUUGCUGGCAAUGGAGGCCUCACUGAGCCAUCAGAUUUCAUCAAAAAUAUCUUAAUUUGUGUUCUGAAGAUGAACAAAGGUCUUACAGGUGUGGAACAACAUUAGGGUGAGUAAUUAAUGACAGAAUUUUCAUUUUUGGGUGAACUAACCCCUUGUGUUCAUCAGAAAGAAGAAAGUCAUAUACACCUAGGAUGGCUAGAGGGUGAGUAAAGCUUGGGGUAAUUUUCAUUUUAAAGUGAACUACUCCUUUAAUGUUAUGAAGUGACGAGAAUACUUUUUGUGCCCUUGACUGUCUAUACAAUAUCAACAGCAUAGGAGAAUGAUAGGGGAGAGAAUAAAUUUUUGAAUAAAAUUAUUAUUUUUGUUUUGAUUUUGCACACAAAAAGUAUUCUUGUCGCUUCAUAACAUUAAGGUUGAACCACUGCAGUCAAGUUGUUAUGUCUUUACUACUUUUCUAGACCUUGAAUAAGGUUGUUAUAUUGCUUUUUAUGGGGGAUAGAAAAACCUCUUGGAUUUCAUCAAAAAUAUCCUAAUUUAUGUUCUGAAGAUGAACGAAGGUCUUGGAAUGACAUGAGGGUGAGUAAUUAAUUACAGAAAUUCAUUUUUGGGUGAACUAACCCUUUAACAACAAAUGGAACGAACAUGAAUUUACUGAAUUGCAAAAACCUAUAAACACUAAACAUUCUCAGAUGAUCUCCACAUGGAGUUGUUUUAGAUAUAAAGUGAGCCAGGUUUCUAACAUCCAGAUUGUAUUAAGGUAUUUAAUUUUUUUUAAAUGUGUCUUGUUCCUACAGCUUGUGAUUUGAAGGUUUUUUGGGAGCCCUUCGUCUCUCCCUUGGCAGCAGACAAGUGUGACGGCACAUUUUUGCACACAUCCAAAGAACCUUCUGUCCUGCCUACUGAUACCUCGAUCUGGUCUCCCUCAGCCAUCUUGUUCUUCAUAAAUUUUUCACCAUGCUGUGAUCAAAGCUCACCACUGUAUUUGUGUUCUGUUGUAAUGGCCAAGGAUGUAACAUGAAAAUCUACUUAAAAAUUACGAUCCAUCUUAUAUCAGGCCUAGUGUUGACAUGGCUUGUUUCUGUGUGGGUUUUUAACAUGAUUGAUUUAUUUUGUUUAGACGGGCAGGAAGGUGCAGGAAUGUUUGGUGCUGUAGGCGUGUCAGUGGGUGAUCCACAUUCAUAUGCCGUGCACUUGUCUCAAUAUUGCAGCCAGGCCAUGCAGCUGUGUCAGAAAACACACUCAUCUGUUUUUUUUUUUUGUUUUUUUUUGCAAAGAUAAGUGUGAGCUCAAGACACUUUGACAUCGCUUUCGAAAAUAGCAUUCAGUUAAAUAAAAUGCAAUUUAAAAAAAAAAAGUAUUUUCAAUUCUUUUCCUAUAUAGAAGCUGAGCAGAAAUAUCCCACACAGGAUUGUGGGAUUGACGGGAGUGGAGUAAGCACUGAGAAUGUCAAAAAAUUAAGAAAUGCCAAUUUGACAAGCGAAAAGCACUGAAUGGCAGCCAAUCGCUGUGAAAAGUUUACUCAUUUUUCCUCCUAAACUGUAAUUGUGCAUAUAUGACUUUGAUUCAUCAGAAGCUGAACUAGACAGUUUUUGGAUGUAUUUUUAUGGAAUUUCUUCUAUGCCAGUGCAAUGUGUUUUAAGAAAAGGAGGUUCUCUUUCUGUGUGGCCCAGAGUGACUCAACUUGCCUUGCUUGUCUUAAUGACAUCGAUUUCUCUAGCUGCCAACUGCUGAAGACCAUCUUACCAAGGCUUUACUGCCUUUCAUGUUCCUUAAUCCUGGGCUAUGUUAGCAUAAUGCUAAUGCACUGUCUUCAUAGCCGCUUUGGAGGUCUUUGUGAAGUGGAGAGAAAUAGUUCCAUCUGCAACAUCGGACAAAAAAUAUAUACUUGUUUAAUAUGACAGCGGUCAUGGUAGUUUAGCAAAAUAAAGCAUUAAAAAAGAA
Ctenopharyngodon idella (grass carp) is the source of this 4379-nucleotide long non-coding RNA. RefSeq lists it as uncharacterized. Lineage: Eukaryota; Metazoa; Chordata; Actinopteri; Cypriniformes; Xenocyprididae. The transcript has 5 exons. The record is from RefSeq and is a predicted model, not a curated record.